CAGGUGUUGUUGGGUAGGGGAGCGUUCUGUAAGCCUGCGAAGGUGGCCUGUGAGGGUUGCUGGAGGUAUCAGAAGUGCGAAUGCUGACAUAAGUAACGAUAAAGCGGGUGAAAAGCCCGCUCGCCGGAAGACCAAGGGUUCCUGUCCAACGUUAAUCGGGGCAGGGUGAGUCGACCCCUAAGGCGAGGCCGAAAGGCGUAGUCGAUGGGAAACGGGUUAAUAUUCCCGUACUUGGUGUUACUGCGAAGGGGGGACGGAGAAGGCUAUGUUGGCCGGGCGACGGUUGUCCCGGUUUAAGCGUGUAGGUGUGUGUUCCAGGUAAAUCCGGUUCACUUUAACACUGAGGCGUGAUGACGAGGCACUACGGUGCUGAAGCAACAAAUGCCCUGCUUCCAGGAAAAGCCUCUAAGCAUCAGGUAACAUCAAAUCGUACCCCAAACCGACACAGGUGGUCAGGUAGAGAAUACCAAGGCGCUUGAGAGAACUCGGGUGAAGGAACUAGGCAAAAUGGUGCCGUAACUUCGGGAGAAGGCACGCUGACACGUAGGUGAAGUGAUUUACUCAUGGAGCUGAAGUCAGUCGAAGAUACCAGCUGGCUGCAACUGUUUAUUAAAAACACAGCACUGUGCAAACACGAAAGUGGACGUAUACGGUGUGACGCCUGCCCGGUGCCGGAAGGUUAAUUGAUGGGGUCAGCGCAAGCGAAGCUCCUGAUCGAAGCCCCGGUAAACGGCGGCCGUAACUAUAACGGUCCUAAGGUAGCGAAAUUCCUUGUCGGGUAAGUUCCGACCUGCACGAAUGGCGUAAUGAUGGCCAGGCUGUCUCCACCCGAGACUCAGUGAAAUUGAACUCGCUGUGAAGAUGCAGUGUACCCGCGGCAAGACGGAAAGACCCCGUGAACCUUUACUAUAGCUUGACACUGAACAUUGAGCCUUGAUGUGUAGGAUAGGUGGGAGGCUUUGAAGUGUGGACGCCAGUCUGCAUGGAGCCGGCCUUGAAAUACCACCCUUUAAUGUUUGAUGUUCUAACGUGGACCCGUGAUCCGGGUUGCGGACAGUGUCUGGUGGGUAGUUUGACUGGGGCGGUCUCCUCCUAAAGAGUAACGGAGGAGCACGAAGGUUGGCUAAUCCUGGUCGGACAUCAGGAGGUUAGUGCAAUGGCAUAAGCCAGCUUGACUGCGAGCGUGACGGCGCGAGCAGGUGCGAAAGCAGGUCAUAGUGAUCCGGUGGUUCUGAAUGGAAGGGCCAUCGCUCAACGGAUAAAAGGUACUCCGGGGAUAACAGGCUGAUACCGCCCAAGAGUUCAUAUCGACGGCGGUGUUUGGCACCUCGAUGUCGGCUCAUCACAUCCUGGGGCUGAAGUAGGUCCCAAGGGUAUGGCUGUUCGCCAUUUAAAGUGGUACGCGAGCUGGGUUUAGAACGUCGUGAGACAGUUCGGUCCCUAUCUGCCGUGGGCGCUGGAGAACUGAGGGGGGCUGCUCCUAGUACGAGAGGACCGGAGUGGACGCAUCACUGGUGUUCGGGUUGUCAUGCCAAUGGCACUGCCCGGUAGCUAAAUGCGGAAGAGAUAAGUGCUGAAAGCAUCUAAGCACGAAACUUGCCCCGAGAUGAGUUCUCCCUGAGACUUUAGGUCUCCUGAAGGAACGUUGAAGACGACGACGUUGAUAGGCCGGGUGUGUAAGCGCAGCGAUGCGUUGAGCUAACCGGUACUAAUGAACCGUGAGGCUUAACCUUACA
Molecule: ribosomal RNA, 1736 nt
Filed under: Salmonella enterica
Lineage: Bacteria; Pseudomonadati; Pseudomonadota; Gammaproteobacteria; Enterobacterales; Enterobacteriaceae
Description: partial 23S ribosomal RNA
Rfam family: Bacterial large subunit ribosomal RNA
Source: RNAcentral